Molecule: ribosomal RNA, 497 nt
Filed under: uncultured bacterium
Lineage: Bacteria
Description: partial 16S ribosomal RNA
Rfam family: Bacterial small subunit ribosomal RNA
Source: RNAcentral
GACGAACGCUGGCGGCGUGCCUAAUACAUGCAAGUUGAGCGGUGAGGCUUGGUGCUUGCGCCGAUUUGGAGAGCAGAGCACGGGUGAGUAACGCGUGGGGAAUCUGCCUUUGAGCGGGGGACAACAUGGGGAAACGAGUGAUAAUACGGCAUAAUAACUUUAAGCAUAGGGGUGAAGGGUGAAAGAUGCAAGUGCAUCACUCAAAGAUGAUCCCUCGUUGUAUUAGCUAGUUGGUGAGGUAAAGGCUCACCAAGGCGAUGAUACAUAGCCGACCUGAGAGGGCGGUCGGCCACAUUGGGACUGAGACACGGCCCAAACGCCUACGGGAGGCAGCAGUAGGGAAUCUUGGGCAAUGGACGAGAGUCUGACCGAGCAACGCGGAGGGAGUGAAGAAGGUUGUCGGGUCGUAAAACUCUGUUGGUAGGGUAUAACGUGCGUGAGCGUGGAAAGCUCAGCGAGUGACGGUAACUACCCAGAAAGCGACGGCUAACUACGUG